This 441-nucleotide ribosomal RNA is filed under the name uncultured bacterium. Its description in RNAcentral is "partial 16S ribosomal RNA". It matches the Rfam family "Bacterial small subunit ribosomal RNA", at positions 338 to 795 of the family's 1533-position model. The record is from RNAcentral.
CCUACGGGUGGCAGCAGUGGGGGAUAUUGCACAAUGGGGGGAACCCUGAUGCAGCGACGCCGCGUGGGUGAAGGAGUGCUUCGGCAUGUAAAGCCCUAUCGGCAGGGAAGAAGCAAGACGGUACCUGACUAAGAAGCCCCGGCUAACUACGUGCCAGCAGCCGCGGUAAUACGUAGGGGGCGAGCGUUAGCCGGAUUCACUGGGUGUAAAGGGAGCGUAGACGGCCAUGCAAGCCAGGGGUGAAAGCCCGGGGCCCAACCCCGGGACUGCCCUUGGGACUGUGCGGCUAGAGUGCGGGAGGGGCAGGCGGAAUUCCUGGUGUAGCGGUGAAAUGCGUAGAGAUCAGGAGGAACACCGGCGGCGAAGGCGGCCUGCUGGACCGCGACUGACGUUGAGGCUCGAAAGCGUGGGGAGCGAACAGGAUUAGAUACCCCUGUAGUC